Long non-coding RNA from Rhodamnia argentea, 332 nucleotides. RefSeq lists it as uncharacterized. NCBI's taxonomy places the organism in Eukaryota, Viridiplantae, Streptophyta, Magnoliopsida, Myrtales, Myrtaceae. The transcript has 4 exons. The record is from RefSeq and is a predicted model, not a curated record.
AUGUAGAUGGCUGAAGUCAAUAAUUCUAGCAGCCUCCAGAAACAGGAUCUCAUUCAUAAGGUUCAGGAACAGGAACAAGAGAUUGUACAGUUAAGGAGACAUUUGUCAGAUUAUCCAGUGAGGGAAGCACAAGUAUGAAACGAAAAGUAUGUCUUGGAGAAGCGAAUUGCUUAUAUGCGUAUGGCCUUUGAUCAGCAGCAGCAGGACCUUGUUGAUGCUGCAUCUAAAGCUCUGUCAUACAGGCAAGACAUAAUGGAGGAAAAUAUUCGUUUAUCAUACCAAUUGCAGGUAUGCUUUUCUUGUCCUAGGAUUUUUUUUUUUUUUAAAUAAUG